CCAGUAGAUAGGCUCCAUGUUGCUCACCGCCGUUCCCAGUAAAUCCAGUAAGAAUAUCAGCACAAAUCCCAGUUUACUCCCACUUCUCCGACACGCCAUUGCAACUCCACAGCCCCUAUGAUUUAACCCCAUUUAAAAAUAAAUGGUAUAUUUUCUAUGAGGAUGUAGAUGGGGUGCUGUCCAAACAAAGGCUAUGGCCGUGUAAGCUAUAGGUGAGUCACUCAAUGCGUGAGGAGGAAAUAUCGUGCCUUGGGCAACCGCAUGGAUAUAAAACGAAUAAUAGAGCACACAACGUAGUAAUUGACAACUACGGCAGAGAAAGUUGCUCUAGCUGUGUUCAAUGGCUUGAGCACCACUCCCCUUCUUCCACAAAACAAUAACUCCCGUUGAAUCGAUUUCUAUCCGGAUUUGAUAGGCGCUCGAGGAGAGCUAUUUUCUGUUGCGUGUUGGUGUUUCCUAUAAUUGUGUUUUCCAAACAAUGUUCCCUUGUUCUCUGCGCCGAUUCUCUUCGGUUUCUCUCCCAUUCCUUUCUACUUCUUAUUUUCUUUAGAGUUUUUUACUCCGAUAAAUAAAUUGUAGUUUCAGAAGAUUCGAGACAUGAGCGCAAAUGCUGUGUUUAAAAAUAGAAGAGGCUUUUCUCCCGGUUUAGAACAGUAGCUCCACCAGAAGGACGUGUUGAUGCUCGCUGGUCGGUGGAUUUGUCAUUGCACGGUUUGAUCCACACUGCGCGUCCUUUCUCUUCUCUUCCAAAAAUGGACACCCUUCAAUGGAUAUCAAUCAACAAAGAGUUAUACAGAGGAGGCAUACAAAGACUUCACCCUCCCUACACCUCUGAUGAAUAUAACAGGAAACCUGUUCGAUCACCAUGCACUGCAAAAUCAUUCUGGCUGUGGACAAGGAGAACAUCAGCACAUUAACAUCAACAUGCCAGAGGAUGUGUCCAUUGGACUUGGGGCUCUGCUGAGAGUUUACCUUAUUUCGAUUCUUUUAAACUUCUGCUUUGCCACUAAAAUCAUAAUAAACACGGAGA
Non-coding RNA from Oncorhynchus mykiss (rainbow trout), 1030 nucleotides. Lineage: Eukaryota; Metazoa; Chordata; Actinopteri; Salmoniformes; Salmonidae. The record is from RefSeq and is a predicted model, not a curated record.